GAAGCUUUUAAAUAUUUAUGGGUAUCAUUAAAGAAUAAGCACAUAAAUUUGGUUAAUUUUUAUUAUGCCAUUGAAUUUCGUUAGGAUAUUAUUGAUGGCAAUCACUUUUAGAAUCCACCAUAAACUAGCAACCAUCAUGGAUUUAAUCAAAAGAUUGAAGAAUGAGAUUACUGGGCCAAGCCUGGCACCUUCUGAAAAACUGAAGAUGGGAUGCGAAAUUAAACUGGAUUUUCAAUAUGAUAACCAAUUGCUUUUCCAUGUAACCAUCUGGUGACAAUAAGUACAUAAAACACAUGUAAAUGUAGUAAAUGAUGAAAUCAGAAAAAAUUCUGCAAGAAUUGAUUAUCUCAAGUUGCUGCACAACAUAUUUUCACACAUUUUUUUGUAUCUGC
RNAcentral lists this long non-coding RNA (392 nucleotides) under Androctonus crassicauda. The record is from RNAcentral. Lineage: Eukaryota; Metazoa; Arthropoda; Arachnida; Scorpiones; Buthidae.